Lineus longissimus is the source of this 66-nucleotide small nucleolar RNA. RefSeq annotates it as small nucleolar RNA U54. The record is from RefSeq and is a predicted model, not a curated record. The transcript has a single exon. NCBI's taxonomy places the organism in Eukaryota, Metazoa, Nemertea, Pilidiophora, Heteronemertea, Lineidae.
UGGUGAUGAGGAGAAAUGAAUAUCUUGAUGUACACUGAUGGCAUUAUACGCUAUUCUGAACCACAA